GCAACAAAAGGAUAAAUUGAGACGCUGAGUGAACGUUGAAAUGUUUUUCAGUUAACUCAGCAACAACAAACGACAUGGCCAUUACCACAGUAAGGCUUUGGAGUGAACCGCAACCUCCCUUACAAAGGAAAAAGGACCCAGUGUCCAGUUAAUUGCAAGGAAAUUUUGGAGUCAUUACAGCAGGUGUUUGUGGAUGCUUCGCAGUCACCCAGGGUCCAGGCAAGCCGACCGUGCAUGGGCAUCGGAGACCAUGGCUGUGCAGCUGGUGCCCGACUCUGCUCUCAGCCUGCUGAUGGGGAAAUGUACCUUUGUGAGGCCUGAUGAGUUUAUUAAGAGCACUUGGAAGAGGAGCCAGUGGGGAGCCCGUCUCCUGAGCGAUGAGCUGGGUCAAGUUAAGAGGGAUGGAGAUCAUGGUUCGUUGUCACCCCAAAUGUCAUGUAAAAUGCCUGGGAUCUCAUGGGCUUCUGUUGAAUUUGAUUCCACUGGGAGAGGAGUAUUCAAGAAAAUUAAAGUUGUUUUCUGGAGAAAUUACCUGGUCGUCCGCUCCCUUCCUCAUACUUGGAUUGUCUAAUGUACUUUACGUCCAUGGUCUCCCUGGGGUCACAUACGUGG
RNAcentral lists this long non-coding RNA (612 nucleotides) under Suricata suricatta (meerkat). RNAcentral's name for it is "lncRNA (ENSSSUG00005005941.1)". The record is from RNAcentral. Lineage: Eukaryota; Metazoa; Chordata; Mammalia; Carnivora; Herpestidae.